UGGAAUCCAAUGUAUUCCAUUGCUUUUUCAC
RNAcentral lists this non-coding RNA (31 nucleotides) under Rattus norvegicus (Norway rat). Lineage: Eukaryota; Metazoa; Chordata; Mammalia; Rodentia; Muridae. The record is from RNAcentral.